Molecule: ribosomal RNA, 253 nt
Filed under: uncultured bacterium
Lineage: Bacteria
Description: partial 16S ribosomal RNA
Rfam family: Bacterial small subunit ribosomal RNA
Source: RNAcentral
UACGUAGGGUGCAAACGUUGUUCGGAAUUACUGGGCGUAAAGCGUGCGCAGGCGGUUCUGAAAGUCAGCUGUGAAAGCCCCGGGCUUAACCUGGGAAUGGCGGUUGAAACUACAGGACUAGAAUCUGGCAGAGGGGGGUGGAAUUCCACGUGUAGCAGUGAAAUGCGUAGAGAUGUGGAGGAACACCGAUGGCGAAGGCAGCCCCCUGGGCUGAGAUUGACGCUCAGGCACGAAAGCGUGGGGAGCAAACAGG